UUUGUUUCUUAUAUUUUAAUAACUAAACUGCAACUCACCUUAUGUAAAGUAGAAUAUGAAAUUUCUAAUUUUGCACUACAAACUAUCUUCCAUGGUCUGAUAUAAAAAAAAAUAGAAUUUGAAUGGAAAGAAUAAAAUAAUGUGCCCAGUAAGUUUUCAUUCUCAAUCUCAUUCACCAUCUAGUUUCCACAACACAAUUUCUCCUCUUAUUACAUCCACACAUAACUCAUCACAGCUCAACAUAGCUCAUCACAGCUUAACACAACUCAUCACAAAAUACACAGUAACAUUUCCCACUUCCAAUCUCUACACAUUCACACACAACUCAUCACAACACACACACAUUAAAGUAUAAGUUUUCCUAAACUUUUAUUUGAUAAUAGUUGUGGUUCUGAGAGUUUCUAAUACUGUCUAUCAGUUGUUAUACCUAAAUGCAGUGUUACUAACAAAAUAAGUACAAUUUUGGGAUCUUGUUCCCCAUUACCUCGUUGGACAGGCACAUAUAUAAAUCAUGCAAUAAUUGAUCACAACAGUCCGUUGUCAGGUGACCCAGAAUAAAACAUGUAUCACAACCACGUCUAAAAGAACUUUCAUCUACCUGAGGUAGGGUUCAUCCACCGCUGACGUAUAUUAAGGAUUUUUGUUUGAAAGGUUCUUCCUACUUUUCACUUGUUUGUAAAGUUGCUUUAUUUCUUGAGUUUAAUUUGUAUAUUUAUUUACGCUUUACAUUUCCUAUCAGCUUGUUCACAUCCUCAACCACUUAUGACACUAUUUUUAAUUGCACACACUCUUUUAUAACUUUUUGCCAUUAUAUACUCUAUUUCAUCGCUUACUACCUUUUCAUUCUCAAUGAAUCUCACAUUAACUUAGCUUUGUUUUGUGUUGUUAAUUUAAAAGUUUAUGUUUUAAAUAACCUAUUUAAUUUAUUGUGGUUUAUGAAUUUAUUUUGGUU
This 952-nucleotide long non-coding RNA is filed under the name Carica papaya (papaya). Its description in RNAcentral is "long non-coding RNA (CPAP_LNC014233)". Lineage: Eukaryota; Viridiplantae; Streptophyta; Magnoliopsida; Brassicales; Caricaceae. The record is from RNAcentral.